GGUGGCUCAGAGGUAGAGCACUUGCCUUGCAUGCAUGAGGCGCUGGGUUCAAUUCCUCAGCACCG
RNAcentral lists this transfer RNA (65 nucleotides) under Dipodomys ordii (Ord's kangaroo rat). It matches the Rfam family "tRNA". Rfam says of the family: Transfer RNA (tRNA) molecules are approximately 80 nucleotides in length. Their secondary structure includes four short double-helical elements and three loops (D, anti-codon, and T loops). Lineage: Eukaryota; Metazoa; Chordata; Mammalia; Rodentia; Heteromyidae. The record is from Rfam by way of RNAcentral.